AAAUUGAAGAGUUUGAUCAUGGCUCAGAUUGAACGCUGGCGGCAGGCCUAACACAUGCAAGUCGAACGGUAACAGGAAGAAGCUUGCUUCUUUGCUGACGAGUGGCGGACGGGUGAGUAAUGUCUGGGAAACUGCCUGAUGGAGGGGGAUAACUACUGGAAACGGUAGCUAAUACCGCAUAACGUCGCAAGACCAAAGAGGGGGACCUUCGGGCCUCUUGCCAUCGGAUGUGCCCAGAUGGGAUUAGCUAGUAGGUGGGGUAACGGCUCACCUAGGCGACGAUCCCUAGCUGGUCUGAGAGGAUGACCAGCCACACUGGAACUGAGACACGGUCCAGACUCCUACGGGAGGCAGCAGUGGGGAAUAUUGCACAAUGGGCGCAAGCCUGAUGCAGCCAUGCCGCGUGUAUGAAGAAGGCCUUCGGGUUGUAAAGUACUUUCAGCGGGGAGGAAGGGAGUAAAGUUAAUACCUUUGCUCAUUGACGUUACCCGCAGAAGAAGCACCGGCUAACUCCGUGCCAGCAGCCGCGGUAAUACGGAGGGUGCAAGCGUUAAUCGGAAUUACUGGGCGUAAAGCGCACGCAGGCGGUUUGUUAAGUCAGAUGUGAAAUCCCCGGGCUCAACCUGGGAACUGCAUCUGAUACUGGCAAGCUUGAGUCUCGUAGAGGGGGGUAGAAUUCCAGGUGUAGCGGUGAAAUGCGUAGAGAUCUGGAGGAAUACCGGUGGCGAAG
This 730-nucleotide ribosomal RNA is filed under the name Escherichia coli. Its description in RNAcentral is "bacterial SSU rRNA". It matches the Rfam family "Bacterial small subunit ribosomal RNA", at positions 1 to 720 of the family's 1533-position model. The record is from RNAcentral. Lineage: Bacteria; Pseudomonadati; Pseudomonadota; Gammaproteobacteria; Enterobacterales; Enterobacteriaceae.